RNAcentral lists this unclassified non-coding RNA (290 nucleotides) under Hevea brasiliensis (rubber tree). The record is from RNAcentral. Lineage: Eukaryota; Viridiplantae; Streptophyta; Magnoliopsida; Malpighiales; Euphorbiaceae.
AAUAUAAAUAAAUAGUAUAUUAAGAAAAAAAAAAUUUAUUGUUCUAACUAUAUAUAUAUCAACUACAUUUUCUUGUACUAUGUAAAAAUAAAAAUAAAUUUAUCUUUAUAAAAUAAAAAAUAUAUUUUUUUUAAAUUAUAUUAAAAAAUAAAAAUAUGGAUAUUUUUAUGGGACAGAAAGAAUAAAUGUUAUUAAGACCUAUGUGAUUAGUUUGAUGCUAUUAAUUCUAAAUUCACAUAAUAGUAAGAGUAUUAAAAAAAGGUAUUAAAAAAAAAAAAGGAAAGAGAAAG